Molecule: ribosomal RNA, 675 nt
Filed under: uncultured bacterium
Lineage: Bacteria
Description: bacterial SSU rRNA
Rfam family: Bacterial small subunit ribosomal RNA
Source: RNAcentral
CCUGCCCGGGAGAUCGGGAUAACAGUUCGAAAGGGCUGCUAAUACCGGAUGAUAUCUUUUCUUUUCGGAGGGAAGAUCAAAGCGUUUAGCGCUCUCGGAUGGGCCCGCGUCCCAUUAGUUAGUUGGUGGGGUAAUGGCCUACCAAGGCAGCGAUGGGUAGCCGGUCUGAGAGGAUGUUCGGCCACACUGGGACUGAGACACGGCCCAGACUCCUACGGGAGGCAGCAGUGGGGAAUUUUGCGCAAUGGGGGAAACCUUGACGCAGCGACGCCGCGUGAGUGAUGAAGGCCUUCGGGUUGUAAAGCUCUGUUGGGGGUGAAGAUAGUGACGGUACCCCCUGAGGAAGCCCCGGCUAACUACGUGCCAGCAGCCGCGGUAAGACGUAGGGGGCGAGCGUUGUCCGGAAUUACUGGGCGUAAAGGGCGUGUAGGCGGCUUUUCAAGUCGGCUGUGAAAUUCCUUGGCUUAACUGAGGGUGUGCAGUCGAAACUGAUGGGCUUGAGUGCAGGAGAGGGUGGUGGAAUUCCCGGUGUAGCGGUGACAUGCGUAGAUAUCGGGAGGAACACCGGUGGCGAAGGCGGCCUCCUGGCCUGUUACUGACGCUGAGGCGCGAAAGCCGGGGGAGCAAAACAGGAUUAGAUACCCUGGUAUUCCCGGCCGUAAACUCUGGGUACUA